AACGAACGCUGGCGGCAUGCCUAACACACGCAAGUCGAACGAGACCUUCGGGUCUAGUGGCGCACGGGUGCGUAACGCGUGGGAACCUGCCCUUAGGUUCGGAAUAACUCCCCGAAAGGGGUGCUAAUACCGGAUAAUGUCUUCGGACCAAAGAUUUAUCGCCUUUGGAUGGGCCCGCGUUGGAUUAGCUAGUUGGUAGGGUAAAAGCCUACCAAGGCGACGAUCCAUAGCUGGUCUGAGAGGAUGAUCAGCCACACUGGGACUGAGACACGGCCCAGACUCCUACGGGAGGCAGCAGUGGGGAAUAUUGGACAAUGGGCGAAAGCCUGAUCCAGCAAUGCCGCGUGAGUGAUGAAGGCCUUAGGGUUGUAAAGCUCUUUUACCCGGGAUGAUAGUGACAGUACCGGGAGAAUAAGCUCCGGCUAACUCCGUG
Molecule: ribosomal RNA, 433 nt
Filed under: uncultured bacterium
Lineage: Bacteria
Description: partial 16S ribosomal RNA
Rfam family: Bacterial small subunit ribosomal RNA
Source: RNAcentral